Molecule: ribosomal RNA, 465 nt
Filed under: uncultured bacterium
Lineage: Bacteria
Description: bacterial SSU rRNA
Rfam family: Bacterial small subunit ribosomal RNA
Source: RNAcentral
CAAGUCGAGCGGAGACUAUCAGAUGAGAGCUUCGGCAGGAUUCGGGUAAGUUUAGCGGCGGACGGGUGAGUAACGCGUGAGCAAUCUGUCUCAGACAGGGGGAUAACGCAGCGAAAGUUGCACUAAUACUGCAUGAGACCACAGGGCCACAUGGCCAAGGGGUCAAAGGAGCAAUCCGGUCUGAGGUGAGCUCGCGUCCUAUUAGGUAGUUGGUGAGGUAACGGCCCACCCAAGCCGACGAUAGGUAGCCGACCUGAGAGGGUGAUCGGCCACACUGGAACUGAGACACGGUCCAGACUCCUACGGGAGGCAGCAGUGGGGAAUAUUGGGCAAUGGGCGAAAGCCCUGACCCAGCAACGCCGCGUGAGUGAAGAAGGUCUUCGGAUUGUAAAUCUCUGUCCUAAGAGAAGAGGGGAAGACGGUAUCUUAGGAGGAAGCCCCGGCUAACUACGUGCCAGCCGCCGC